RNAcentral lists this long non-coding RNA (11335 nucleotides) under Capsicum annuum. RNAcentral's name for it is "long non-coding RNA (CANN_LNC007446)". Lineage: Eukaryota; Viridiplantae; Streptophyta; Magnoliopsida; Solanales; Solanaceae. The record is from RNAcentral.
UAAUUGAGUUUGGUUUCCCGAAUUAAAAUUUGUUCGGAUUGGGAUUGGAGAAAUCAAGUUGGAUCUUUGUCAUUGUUGAACCUAGAAGUCGAGGUUCUCGGGCGUGGUUCUAUCUCCGAUAUAUUGAAAGCAACACUUGAGGUCCAAUUCUAUAUUCUCUUUAACUUUUUAUGUAAAUAUGGAUGAUUUGUUAUUUGAUAUGUUUGAAUCUUUGUUUUUGUGUUGGCUGAUGUUGAAUUUGAAUGUGGAAAUUUGGAUUAGUAGUCGAAGAAUUGAUUAAUUAUUUUGAGAAUGAAUGUGGGAAGGGAUUGAUCUCGAUAAAAGUAAAUUUGGAUAAUUUUUGAUUCAUUGAUGAUGUUGAAAUGUGAUAAGAAUCAUGAUAGGUCGAGUUGGAUAUGAAAAUAGUAGGUUCGGGUAGGCAAAUUUAGAACUUUUAGAUUGUUGAAUGUUGAAAAUGUUUGUUGAAUGGUUUUAUUUUAUGAAUUUGGAUCGAUUGUAUUCAUUCGUCGGGGAAUGCCCCGAGGUCACAUUUGUAUUCAUUCACCGAGGAAUGCCCCGAGGUCACAUUUGUAUUCAUUCACCGGGGAAUGCCUGGUGAAUGCCCCGACGUAUCAUGUACUCGGAGGACGCCCGUGAUGAAGGUACGAAGCAUCGGAUAUGGCAUUGGAGCGUAGUUUAGGAUUAGUGUAGGUUAGCGUAGGUUUACUUUUCAGUACCUUUUUCAUUUUGGGUUGUAAUAAUUGGACUGAACACUAUAUUUUUGGACUAGUUUUGUUUGUUUGAUUGAUCAUUUUCGUGUGUUUUUGUGUAGUUUGUACAUGUUGUAGUAUCAAAUUAGCCGAUAUGCUCCACCAAGAUACUGUGGUCGAACCACAGGAUCGAGAGGUUCCUAACACCUUCCCCUCGGUCAACAGAAUUCCUUAACCAAAAUAUCUAUUUGCGGAUCAUUUUAAAAGAUUCAAAAUCAUUUUUUUUGACAAAGGAUUUCCAAAGGUGACAUGGCACACCUGAUUUAUGCCAAGUGGCAACUCUGAGUUUUUGAUUAUUCAUGAUCCUUUUCAAAACAAAUCUUCUUUUUUGGCACUUCAAUAAUAAAACCCUUUCAAGCCUUAAAAACUCAAACUAAUCUUUUUAGUUAAAAAAGGGGUGUGAUAGCCCUGGAGACUCUGCUGGGGAUUUUUCAGAAUUCAAGCUUAUUUUGGAGUUGUAUCGGCUUAGUUGACACUAUAGGUGUAUAGACAGUUUGUUUAUGUUGUUUUGUGUUAUUGUUUACCAUUGUUGAGUGACUAUGUUCUCUUUGUUUACAGGUUUUACUUUAUGUGUUACCGCUUUAUAUCUGGCAUCAUGUGCAUAACCUGAGUUUUUCUUUCUGCAACAAGUUCGUAGUACACGUGAGUACACAAUCUAUAGUUGAGUCACCUUUAUUUUAGGAGGGGGAGCCGUUGGGUUGUAUGGAGUAGGUGGACAACUAAAACAAUCCACUAUCGACGAUACGCUCCCCCGAACACCCUUGUUAGUGGACCCCAACGUAGGUCAGCCUUUAGGUCAUGCUUAUUUGCAUCAUAUUGAGACCUAGCAAGACCCACGUGGCCCUUUGCAGGAGACUCACCUCUAAAGCAUCCCUACGUGCUAAAUGUAGCAUCUUUGAGGGUAACAUGAUCAUUUGACGGACUGAUUUGGGGAAAACAUGUGUUAGAAGUAAAGUGCGUAGGUAAGAAAUGUUGAGAAAAAAAUAAAAGUGAAAAGUGAAUCGAAAAGAAAAAAAGAGAGUUUUUAGUUUUUAGAGUUCUUUAUGGCUUUUGUUUUCCCCAAUUCAAAAAUUAAUUUAUUUUUUUUAAAAAAAUUUUGCACUCAUUUUUCAAAAAUAAAAAAAUACAUCAAAAAGAUUUUCCUUUUAUUUCAUUUAGUAAGCAUUCACAAUUCGAAAACUCCAAAACUAUUUUUUAAGAGCUUUUUAUGAAAGAAAAAUUCAAACAAAGGGUGGUAGAAAUUUUGUACAUUUCAUAUAAUGAAAAUACCAAAAAGAUUUUCUUUCAUAGCUGUUGAUGUCAUUUUUUAUGUGAAGUGUCAAAUUAAAAACUCACAAAAAAAGAUUUUGAUAUGUUGUUCAUCGUGUGUCUUUGGUCGUGUCUCAAGUCAGGGUGCAAUUUAUUAUUUAAUCAUUAAUUAUCCAAUCUGGACGAACUACGCACCCCUGAUUCUCCUAUUUUGGGAGUGAGCUAUGUAGGGAGCCUAUUAUAGGUUCGGGGAUCUUAUUUAAAAAAUUCAAAAAAGAUUUUCUUCACUCUUUAUUAGAGUAGUUGUUUCAUAUACAUUUUUAAAAUAAAAUAACAAAAAAGAUUUUCCUUUAAUAGGUUAAAGUUUCGUUUUCGUAUGAAAUUCAAAAUCUAAAUCCCAAAAAGAUUUUCUUCACUCUUUAUUAGAGUAGUUGUUUCAUAUACAUUUUUAAAAUAAAAUAACAAAAAAGAUUUUCCUUUAAUAGGUUAAAGUUUCGUUUUCGUAUGAAAUUCAAAAUCUAAAUCCCAAAAAGAUUUUCUUUGGUAUCAUAGGUUUCAUUUUGUAUAGGGAUUUUCAAAGCUGAAAAACUCAAAAAGAUUUUCAUCAAUUCUUUUGACAAUUUGUUGUUUUCUUUUAAAGUUUCAAUAAAAAGAAAAAAGAAAGGAAAAAGAGUUUAAUUGGCCAUUUUGGCAAGACUUCACGAACUACGCACACCUGAUUCUCCUCUUUUGGGAGUGAGAUACGUAGGCGCCCUUCUUGGGUUCGGUGAUCUUUUCUAAAAUGAUAAGAAAUUAAAAAAUGGUUUUGAAAAAAGGUGUGGAACUCUAACGCAUUUGAUGUUUCUUUUGUUCAGUUAGUUUAAGGUGGUUGGUUUGUGGCAUUUUGGCUGGUCCUCUAUAGUGCACCAAGUUACAUAGAAAGUUGCCAACAAGGAUACCGAGUUUAUUGUCACUAAUUAGAUAGGGAGUUCGGGGAAUGAGAAUUUAGGAACUAAUGAAGAGAUUCAAAAAUUAAGGUAACAAAUGAUAGAAAUGCAUCGAGCUUGGGCNNNNNNNNNNNNNNNNNNNNNNNNNNNNNNNNNNNNNNNNNNNNNNNNNNNNNNNNNNNNNNNNNNNNNNNNNNNNNNNNNNNNNNNNNNNNNNNNNNNNNNNNNNNNNNNNNNNNNNNNNNNNNNNNNNNNNNNNNNNNNNNNNNNNNNNNNNNNNNNNNNNNNNNNNNNNNNNNNNNNNNNNNNNNNNNNNNNNNNNNNNNNNNNNNNNNNNNNNNNNNNNNNNNNNNNNNNNNNNNNNNNNNNNNNNNNNNNNNNNNNNNNNNNNNNNNNNNNNNNNNNNNNNNNNNNNNNNNNNNNNNNNNNNNNNNNNCAACACUAUCCAAAAAACACUUCCAUUCCUUUCCUCACUCCUCAACAUAAAACUACCACUUACUAGGAUCCAUCUGUUGUUCAUGCUUUUGCAGCACCAACCCCGCUUAAAGCUCCUACUUUUAAUUCCAAUCCAACGGUUGUUAUUCCUCACUCUAAAAGUGACCCUGUAUUGAAUAUUUCAAGGGAUCAACAUUAUGCUCCCAAGCUCACAUUUAAGUCAACUGAUCCUUAUGGCUAUACUCAUCCGACUGAAUUUACUUUUAAUGCCGAAAAGCCUGUUAUAAAAGAAGAACAAGAAGAAAUAACCAAAAAAUUGUGAAGUGUGGAACUGGCUACGAAGAAUCUCCAAGGGCCUAGGGGGUACAAAAGUGUCUCAUAUAAAGAUCGGUGCAUGUUUCCAGGUGUUCAUCUCCCUUUCGAUUUUAAGAUGCCAAAGUUUGAGAAGUAUGAUGGACAUGGGGAUCCGGUGGCACAUUUGAGACGUUAUUAUAACCAACUAAGAGGCAUUGAAGGCAAAGAAGAACUGCUCGUGGCUUACUUUGGUGAGAGUCUUUUGGGUCUAGCUUCGGAAUGGUUUGUUGACCAAGACAUUGACAAGUGGAUUAGUUGGUAUGACCUAGCUAAUGGAUUUGUGCAACAAUUUCAAUACAAUGUGGAGUUGAUCCCUGAAGAAAAAUCCCUAAAUAGUAUAAAAAAGAAGAAUACUGAGAGUUUCAGGGAGUAUGCAAUCAGAUGGCACGAAUAAGCUGCUAGAGUAAAACCACCAAAGAAAGAAAGAAAAAUAAUGAAGGUGUUUAUUCAAACACAGGAUGAAACAUAUUAUCAACACUUGUUACCUACAUUAGGCAAUUCAUUUAUUGAGGUCCUUAAAAUGGGGGAGAUGAUAGAAGAGGGAAUUAAGACUUGUCGUAUUUUGAGUUUUGCAACAUUGAAAGCGACAACUCAAGAAAUUCAAAAGGGUUCAGAAAGUGUUGGGGAGAUAAAGAAUGAGGAAGUUUCAUCUUCUAUUGUGGUUGGACAGCGGGCACGGUCAAGAAGACCCCAUUUUCGUCACUCUCAGCUCAAACCUAAGUUCAUGCAUAAGCUCCACAUAAUCACUCCCAAAAUUUAUUAUACUCUGCUCAUCUACCUUCGUAUCUAGAAUAUAAUGCACAACCACAUGUUUAAACCCUAUGUUACCCAAAGUGGAACACACUAACUCCCCAGAGUCAUCCUCUAACUCCACAAACAUACCAAAACCCUUCUAAGACUGAUUUUUAAUCCAAGCCAAAUGAUGAAAUGAGGCAGAAGUCGAGAGAUCACUUCACACCAAUUGGAGAGUCGUAUGCCAGUUUAUUUCAGAGAUUAGUACAAUGGGGCAUGAUCACUUCUCUCCUUGGUUGCACUCUUAAUCGACGUUCAAGAAAUUUUGAUCCUAAUGUACGAUGUGCGUAUCAUUCUGAUGCUCAGGGUCAUAGUAUUGAAGAUUGUCGAGAUUUGAAAAGAGAAAUUGAAAAGAUGAUUCGAGAUAAAUCAAUUAUGGUGCAGAACAUUGACAGUGUGGGAAGCUCUAGUCAUGCUGAUAUGCAAACCGGUGGCUAAAUUGUCAGGCUAAGCAAUUAAGAAGUCACCCCUCUCCCUACUAGGAACAGGUCUGGUAGUUUUUUUUAGUUUUCUUUUUUGUGUUUUUGAAUUAUUUCAGGGUUUUAGUUUGGGAUCUCUCUUGUUUUGUCCUUUUGUCGUUUAGGUUCAAAUCCUUCUAUCUUUUAUUUCAACUAAAUGAAUUGUCCUUUUUCCUUUGCGUUUUAAAUAUGUGUAAUUUGUUUGUUUUCUUUAUACAGUACAUUUUAUGUUGACUCUGGUGAUAUGACAUGCUUGCGGAAUUUUUAGCCAGAUCUUAAAAUCCAAUUUAACCAUGAAACAUUGGAUCAGAGUGCUAAAGUUAGGAGAAACAUCUGAGAAAAUGGUAGACUGCUAAGACAUUUGGUGACAAGUUCAAGCCUUCUUUGAAAAUUAAGGCCAUUUAUUUUGAGAAUCACAAGAAUAACUUGGUCAUCAAUUGAAAGACAUAUCUCAAUUACGUCAAAUAGUGUCUGCAUGAUCCUAUCAAGAGGAACAGAAAGAAAAUCAACUCCACGAAAGCAUGAGUCAUUCAAAGUGAGGGAUGUACAACAAAUGUGGAGUUGUAUGUUUGAAAAGUAUAGAAAAAGAGGUGACACACAUGCUUGGGGCAAGUUAGUAUUGUAAAACAUGUCAUAAGUUAUGUUGAUCGUACACUUUCACAUUGCAUGCUAUGUACUAGUAUUUUCAAGGAUUGAUAUGACGAAGGCAUUUUAUUCUGCUAUCCAAAUAUUGUGUCAUCCUUUGUUUACCCCAUUUGAGCCUUAGUUUUAUUUUCUUUCAUACCCCUCUUUUGGAAUUAAGAUAAAGCCAGCAAAGCUCAAAAGAAAAGUAUCGAGCAAGAGAAUAGAGNNNNNNNNNNNNNNNNNNNNNGAAAGAGAGAAAAAUAUGUCCAUAAAAGAAGAAAAGGGUGUCAAGAACUUAGAGUUAGAAAAAUCACAAAGAAAAAAAGGUAAAAAAAAGAAGAAGAAGAACCAGUCAGAAUUAAGCAAAAAAGAAUAAGCUGUCAGAACUACACAUGAACUGAUUCUCCUCUCUCGGGGGUGAGAUAUGUAGGCUGACCUACUCCGAACUCGGUCCAACCAUAUAAACAAUUUAGAGUCACCCAGUCAAAAGAAACUGGGGCAUGAGUUAAUCCUCAUUAUUUUGAGUCGAUUCCAAAAGUUGUAAGUCCUACCCCACUUCAAGUGUUGUUUGGGCCUCAUGUCAUCCUUUCUUUCUAACCUUAUCCAAAAGUCAAGUUAUAACCAAAGAAAUACCUUCAGAUCAAUCUCUGAGAAUGCUAAGGCUAAGCAUGUAAUGGAUAUGAUGACACAUUUUGGGAAUUACUCGUCUUCGUCAGCAUAAGAAAUCAGGAGAGAAAUAAAAAUAAGAGUCUUAUUGGUGAAAACCCUCACGAGCACCAUAAAGUUAUGGUAAGUUAAGAGAUAUAAAAUGAGAAAGUCUUAUUGGUGAAAACUCCAUGAGAACCAUAAGGCGAUGGUGAGUUGAGAGAAAAAUUAGAUAGACUUGUGGGUAAAAAUCCUUCAAUGUGCCACUAGCUGAAUGAGCUCUUUGAAUGCAAUGGGUCCAAGCAAGUAACUCAGUUUCAGAGCCGUUAACUCAAGAACAAUUGGUAGAAAGCUUGGAUGGAAAGAUUAGGAAGCUUGAUCCAAAAUGCAUGGCAUAAUCAUUAGAUUUGACUACCAUUUCUAGAUAAAUUUUUCAUUUCUUUAUUUCAAAUGGGGACAUUCUUUGUCUUUUCUUUCUUCUCUUUAUUUUUUAUUUUAUUUUCUUUAGUCAGUUGUCCAAAUAAAAAUCAUUGUCAUUUUUUUCUCUCUUGUCUUUGAGUCAAGUCCAUGUCAAAACAAGUGAGAAAAGAUUUCAAAACUAGCUACCAGCUUCUUCAAUUGUGUAAAGUAAGACAAAAGGCCAACACAUGAAAGAGACAUAAUUGUGAGACGAAAUAAAGCAUGCAGAAAGUUGUGUCAACCGACAAGUCUGGAAACUCAUGGAAAUACCAAGGUUCAAAAGGUUUAUCUGAGAAACAUGACAAAGUAGAGAUACUGUAUCUGUUUUAGAGUCACUCUUCAUUAUCUGAGUUCGGGUCAAUGAUGCAGUAAGCCAGUGACACAUGCUAAUGGUUGAAAGCAAGAUUAAAUGUGACAGGGGCAAGAGAGAUUUCCACGAAAGCCAAAGCCACAAACCAGCCACCAUGUUUUUAAACAAAUAAGUUUUCUUUGUAUGAAACAAGAGCACAUGCUACCUUCGAAUCAAGGAUUUCAAAGCCUAAACAUCAAAGGCUGUAAUAUUCUCACUUCUACAAAUGCAAGAAGCAAUGUUGCUGCAUAGAUUUUGUAUUUAAAACCAUGGUAAAACUCAUCAUCCAAUACCUCUAGGAGACACACUUCCUUAUUUGGGUAAUUCAAGCAACAUUUGUAAGGAGACAUACUUUCUUGUUUAGGUGAUUCAAGCAACAUUUGUAAGGGGACACACUUCCUUGUUUGAAAAAUUCAAGCAAUAUUUAUAAGGAGACGCACUUCCUUAUUUUGGUAAUUCAAGCUGCAUUGGUAGGAAGACGCACUUUUUUAUUUCGGUAAUUCAAGCAGCAUUUGUAAGGAGACACACUUCCUUGUUUAGGUAAUUCAACCGGCAUUUGUAAGGAGACAAACUUCCUUAUUUGGUGAAUUCAAGCAAACAUUUUUGAGGAGAUGCACUUCCUUGUCUGGAUAAUUCAAGCAACAUUUGUAAAGAGACGCACUUCCUUAUUUGGAUAAUUCAAGCAAUAUUUGUAAGGAGACACACUUCCUUGUUUGGUAAUUCAAGUGGUAUUUGUAAGGAGACACACUUUCUUGUUUGCACAUUUCAAGCAACAUUUGUAAGAAGAUGCACUUCCUUGUUUCGGUAAUUCAAGUAGCAUUUGUAAAGAGAUGCACUUCCUUGUUUGGGUAAUUCAACCGACAUUUGUAAGGAGACACACUUCCUUGUUUGGACAAUUCAAGCAAUAUUUGUAAGGAGACACACUUUCUUGUUUGGUAAUUCAAGUGGUAUUUGUAAGGAAAUGCACUUCCUUGUUUGGACAAUUCAAGCAACAUUUAUAAGAAGACGUACUUCUUUGUUUAGGUAAUUCAAGUGGAAUUUGUAAGGAGACACACUUCCUUGUUUUGGUAAUUCAAGAGGCAUUGGUAAGGAGACGGACUUUCUUGUUUGGACAAUUCAGGCAACAUUUGUAAGGAGACGCACUUUCUUAUUUGGGCAAUUCAAGCAACAUUUGUAAGGAGACAAACUUCCUUGUUUGGGAAAUUCAAGCAACAUUUAUAAGGAGACGCACUUCCUUGUUUGGAAAAUUCAAGAAACAUACUUAAGGAGCCACACUUCCUUGUUUGGCUAAUUCAAGCAACAUUGGUAAAGAGACACACUUUAUUAUUUUGGUAAUUUAAGCGACAUUGGUAAGGAGAUGCACUUCCUUGUUUUGGUAAUUUUAGAGGCAUUGGUAAGGAGAUGCACUUUCCUAUUUGGGUAUUUCUAGCAACAUUUGUAAGGAGACGCACUUUCUUAUUUGGAUAAUUUAAGCAGCAUUGGUAAAGAGACACACUUCCUUGUUUUGGUAAUUUAAGCGGCAUUGGUAAGGAGAUGCACUUUCUUGUUUUGGUAAUUUAAGCAGCAUUGGUAAGGAGACGUACUUCCUUGUUUGGACAAUUCAAGAAACAUUUGUAAGGAGAUGCACUUCCUCAUAUCCUCAUUUGGGUAAUUCAAGCAACAUUGGUAAGGAGACACACUUCCUUGUUUUGGUAAUUUAAGUGGAAUUGGUAAGGAGACAAACUUCCUUGUUUUGGUAAUUCAAAAGGCAUUGGUAAGGAGACACACUUUCUAGUUUGGGUAUUUCUAGCGCCAUUUGUAAGGAGACACAUUUCUUUGUUUGGGCAAUUCAAGCGGCAUUUUGUAAGGAGAUGCACUUCCUUGUUUGAGUAAUUCAACCGGCAUUUGUAAGGAGACGCACUUACUUGUUUUGGUAAUUCAAGCAAUAUCUGUAAGGAGACGUACUUCCUUGUUUGGGUAAUUCGAGCGGCAUUUGUAAGGAGACGCACUUCCUUGUUUUGAUAACUCAAGGAGCAUUGGAGCCUGCCCAAAGCACAAGGCGAAUAAAUGGAAAGUCAAGCAACAAGGUGAAACCAUUGAAAGCCAAGUAACAAAUUAAAAAAUUAUAAGUCAGGAUCCCGCCUAAAGAAUAGGGUGCUGAAACUCAAGUCAAGAGUUCAAAAGAAGCUGUAUAGAUAAGAAUUUUGUAAUUUUAUUUAUCUUUUUAACUCUUGUAGUUUUUUAUUUUUUGAUGUAAUGAUAGAGCCGCAAUCGGAACCUCAAUGGUACCUCACUCGACUCUACAACUCGGUAUAUUCCAUCUCCUUCCAAUCCUUUAAGAUACCUGUCACUUGAUUCCCUCAUAACUUGGGUAGAUAGGAUGUCCUAAGUCAAGACUUGGUGUCCCUCCUUCCUUCUGUUUCAUUCUUUUAAUAAUGGUCGGGACAAAAUUCUAUCUUGUUGUCUACUUCUUUGUCUGAAAACACUUCAUGCUUACAUUCAAAGGGGGCAUACCUUGGACACCUAAUUUUAUUCCGUCAAAAUAUUUCUUAUUUUGAUAUCACACAAUUUAACCCCAUUCUUAUAACAUUUCCCCAAGAAAAUAAAUAACUACCCCAUCUUUUACUUAUUUAUUUAUUUAUUUAUUUUUGUUUCAUUUUUAUCAAAAAAUAAUAAGUCAUAACAAACUUUGUCUCAUUCUAACAUUCCAACAACCUACCCAAUCAAAAAUUGACAAGUAACCCCUACCCUUCCAAUUAAAAAAAAACAACACCUCACCACUCACCAAACCACCUCACCACCACCCCUCCACGUGACCCCCUACCUUUUUUUGUUCACACAUUUUCUUUCCAUCUCCAUAUAUAGAACAAGACAAUACACAAAAGAGGAGGAUUCAUUAAGGGCCCACAGAAUAACAAAAAACACAAAACAGCACCAUCACCUCACAAUUUCAUAGGCACACAAUCAUCUUUUUCAUGAUAUAUUCACUCACAUUCACUGAUAAGAAGGAGGAGAAGAUACUCACCCUUAACACAACCUCACACUCUCUCCAUUUUAUCCAUUGAUUACACAAAAAGAACACUACACACAGAAAAUGAGGUAGAUCGAGAGAGAGAGAGUAGCAUAGAGGAGACACGUGAAAAAGAGGGGAAAAGAGAUUUGGGUUUCUGUCUUUUUCACCUUCAUCCAUGCACACACAUGAAAAACACGCGCACACAGUAAAAAAACAAAAAAAUGAGCAAAAUGACAUGAGAAUCGAAGGAGAAAAUAGAAUUCAGGUUUCUGGUUAGUGUUCCGGCAGCCCCUUCGUCGGAAUCUCAUCGUUCUCUUUUGAUUUCUGGGUGAAUACAAUCAGGAAAUGAUAAUAUUGACGGAAUUCUUGAUUCAUCAUUACUACCGCUGUCUAGGCUCACCGAAUCUUAGGCUACACUGAUUUUGACUUUCUGUUGCAUUGUUGGAGUGUUGGGGUUCAUCUGUUUUCACGUUUCAUCAUUGAAACCGGGUUUCCAUCUUGUCAAAUUGCUUAUAUUUGGUUUUAUUUUUAUUCUUGGGUUUUUAAGAUUCAAAUUUCAUCUUUCUAUUCGGGGAUUUGCUAUUGCCGUUCGGAGUUGUUGAUUCAGAAGUUUAUAAUUGAGUUUGGUUUCCCGAAUUAAAAUUUGUUUGGAUUGGGAUUGGCGAUAUUGAGUUGGAUCUUUGUAAUUGUUGAAGCUCAAAGUCAAGGUUCUCGGGUGCGGUUCUAUCUCUGAUAUAUUAAAAGCGACACUUGUGGUCAAUUUUAUCUUCUCUUUAAUUUUUUUACAUGAAUAUGAAUGAUUUGUUAUUUGAUAUGUUUGAAUCAUUGUUUUUGUGUUGGUUGAUGUUGGAUUUGAAUGUGGAAACUUGGAUUACUAGUCAAAGAAUUUAUUAAUUAUUUUGAGAAUGAAUGCGGGAAGGGAUUGAUCUCGAUAAAAGUAAAUUUGGAUAAUUUUUGAUUCAUUGAUGAUGUUGAAAUGUGAUAAGAAUUAUGAUAGGUCGAGUUGGAUAGGCAAAUAGUAGGUUCGGGUAGGCAAAUUUAGAACUUUUGGAUUGUUGAAAAUAUUUGUUGAAUGGUUUUAAUUUAUGAAUUUGGAUUGAUUGUAUUCAUUCGCCGAGGAAUGCCCCAAUGUCAUAUUUGUAUUCAUUCACCGGGGAAUGCCCCGACGUAUCAUAUACUCGGAGGACUCCCGUGAUAAAGGCCCAAAGCAUCGGGCAAGACAUUGGAGCGUAGUUUAGGAUCAGUGUAGGUUAGCGUAGGUUUACUUUUUAGUACCUUUUUCAUUUUGGGUUGUAAUAAUUGGA